CCUACGGGGGGCUGCAGUCGAGAAUUAUUCACAAUGGGGGAAACCCUGAUGGUGCGACGCCGCGUGGGGGAAUGAAGGUCUUCGGAUUGUAAACCCCUGUCAUGUGGGAGCAAAUUAAAAAGAUAGUACCACAAGAGGAAGAGACGGCUAACUCUGUGCCAGCAGCCGCGGUAAUACAGAGGUCUCAAGCGUUGUUCGGAAUCACUGGGCGGAAAGCGUGCGUAGGCUGUUUCGUAAGUCGUGUGUGAAAGGCGCGGGCUCAACCGGCGGGCGGCACAUGAUACUGGGAGACUUGAGUAAUGGAGGGGGAACCGGAAUUCUAGGUGUAGCAGUGAAAUGCGUAGAGAUCGAGAGGAACACUAGUGGCGAAGGCGGGUUCCUGGACAUUAACUGACGCUGAGGCACGAAGGCCAGGGGAGCGAAAGGGAUUAGAUACCCUUGUAGUC
Molecule: ribosomal RNA, 446 nt
Filed under: uncultured bacterium
Lineage: Bacteria
Description: partial 16S ribosomal RNA
Rfam family: Bacterial small subunit ribosomal RNA
Source: RNAcentral